GCUGCCUCAUAAUUACAGCCUCUCAUCGCACGUGCGGGAAACAAGUUGUGGCGUUCGGGAAAGGUCUGCAAAAAUAGGUGUCAGCCCUUAACUAAUAGUGAUUGUCCUUCCAUUCUACUGUAAUUUACAUUUAAUUCACACAUUUCAUUUCCAUUUAAAAUAUGAUUACAGUGUUUUGAAGCACAUCUCACCUGUCCCCUCGAAUUACAGGGGGAUGAGAAUAACAGGGAACAGCAGGCACCGGGAAGGCGGCGCAGCCCUUGGCGCUGGGGCUCAUGACCUGCUACUAAAUACAUGCAGCAGAAAGCAGUGGCUGCCGUGUCUGACGCUUAGGCUUCUCUACCCUGAAGCCAGCAGAAGAAAGGAAGGAAGAAGGCUUGGGACUUCCUAUGCGUUGAUGCAGAGAGUCCAGAAUGCCCCCAUGGAUAUGCAACACCCUUCAGAAUAUACCUCCUUGGGGCUGAAGAGAUGGCUCAGUGGUAAACAGCACUGUAUGCUCUUCCAGAGGGCUCAGAUUUGAGUCUCAGCACUGACAAAUGUUAUGGUCUUUCUUCUAUUGCAGAGAGUCGGUGAAUUCUUUUCUUCCCCUCUUAUAGCUCGCCAUGGUCAUGGACCUAGUGACCACUGAAGUAUAAGCAGAUGUUGUGUGUCAGUUCUAGGCCUUCGUUAAGAUACUCCCUACUCUAUGCUGUUUUUCUGCUAACCAAAGGUGAACAGCUUCAAGGAUGAGGUACAACUAAAGGACAACCACACCACCAAGAAGAUAAAUGGUACUUCCCUGGACCACUUCAUGAAGGAAGUCUGCACACUAACCAAGAACAGUUGAGCAAUGGCAUUUUAACAACCUUUUAUUCUGUGAAGGAUACUAUAAAUUCUUUGGCGUCUCUAUACCUCUACCUGUUUCUGAUGGAGUUCCAGCUCUGAUGCCCACUCUCAGAGCUCUACAAAUUGGACUUUGACUUCCAUCUAUGUUGCUUUACUUGGAGCUGAAUUCACACUCGCCAUAAACACCGGGAAAACAGGAUGGGAAAUGAUAUUAAAACAGCUUUCAGACAUCUCAAGGCAGGCACUACAGACUGAAAGCCUCCUGAGAGAAUGUAAAUAAACAAGGGGAAACUGCCAGCACCCUAGCUUUCUUCAGGG
Molecule: long non-coding RNA, 1143 nt
Filed under: Mus musculus (house mouse)
Lineage: Eukaryota; Metazoa; Chordata; Mammalia; Rodentia; Muridae
Description: predicted gene 45584
Source: RNAcentral